This 1138-nucleotide long non-coding RNA is filed under the name Mytilus galloprovincialis (Mediterranean mussel). Lineage: Eukaryota; Metazoa; Mollusca; Bivalvia; Mytilida; Mytilidae. The record is from RNAcentral.
AAAGUAUUUACGUUUUCAGACAGUGUUGUGUCCGGUGAAAUAAAAUGCAACAUUGUUUUCAUGAGAAAAUAACCAAUCCUUAAGCAAUCAACAUCUCUAUGUUUGAGUUUACAUUCUCAGUACUACUAACUAAAACUUUUUACCAAAAAUAUAGAAAUCCUUUCUUUUAAUACGGGUAGUAGUAUAGUUCUAAUGCAUCCCCUUUUUAGCAAUAUUUGAUACAGGGUCUAUCUGAAGUAUUUUAAUUUAAAAUUUGUACCUAUUUGCAUAGACCUAAAAAGUCUAUUAAUUUAUGUAUAAUAUGAAUAAAACAUGAUGUUUCUAACUGUAUUUUAAAUGUAAAAUCUUGUAAUUGAUUUGAGGUAGUACUGUAGGAGGGUGGACUUGCUGGUGAGUGGGCUCUCCAAACUUUGUUUGUGCAAACAUUUCUACCAAUUCUUUUCAAAUUUUUGUGAGUUGUUUCUCAUGACAAAGGAGAUCAAGUUUGAUAUUGGUAAUUUUCACUUUCUUCAUUAUGAAGCCUGGUCCACAUAAUCUAUUUUGUUCUUUAAUUUAUAGAACCAUUGACUAAUUAUUUCAAAAUGUUGUUGUUUCUGAUGACUAAAUGGAGGUUAAGUUUAAUCUUGACAAUUUCCUCUUAUUUUAAUAGUUGUGGCCCAUUUAUUGCUUAAACAAUAACACAAAUAAAUGCAAGGAAAACUGGAUUAGCUGUCAUCUUGACUGCCCAUGUAAAAGAAGAUGAAAAGCGAAGUAUGAAAAGUAAUCUAAUUUGCAUAAUAGAAGAAGAAGCCUGAGCAGCUUUAUAUUAAAUAUAUACGGAAUGAUCUUCCACCAUAUAGCCUUUUUGUGGUGAUGCAGCGUAAAGCAAUCACCAAUCAAUCUUAUAACGGAAACACAAUGUGAUAAGGUCAAAGUUACUCACUCAAACUAUGAUUAGGAUGAAAAGAAUAGUGAAAGGUAUUUUAGUAGCUAUGCUAUACAGAGAAAGAUGUUACCCAAAACUGAUAUACUCAGAAAAAAAUUGUGUUCUUACUAAUUAAAAAUAUAUUAUUAGUUUUUAAGCUUUUCAUAUUGCUUUUUGUCUCCUAUUUUUUGUAUCAUUUAUUUUAUAUACAGAUCAUUUGUAUUUGUUGAGAAC